GAUGAACGCUGGCGGCGUGCCUAAUACAUGCAAGUCGAGCGAACAGACGAGUAGCUUGCUCCUCUGACGUUAGCGGCGGACGGGUUAGUAACACGUGGAUAACCUACCUAUAAGACUGGGAUAACUUCGGGAAACCGGAGCUAAUACCGGAUAAUAUAUUGAACCGCAUGGUUCAAUAGUGAAAGACGGUUUUGCUGUCACUUAUAGAUUGAUCCGCGCCGGAUUAGCUAGUUGGUAAGGUAACGGCUUACCAAGGCGACGAUGCGUAGCCGAACUGAGAGGAUGAUCAGCCACACUGGAACUGAGACACGGUCCAGACUCCUACGGGAGGCAGCAGUAGGGAAUCUUCGGCAAUGGGCGAAAGCCUGACGGAGCAACGCCGCGUGAGUGAUGAAGGUCUUCGGAUCGUAAAACGCUGUUAUUAGGGAAGAACAAAUGUGUAAGUAACUAUGCACGUCUUGACGGUACCGAAACAGAAAGCAACGGCUAACUACGUG
RNAcentral lists this ribosomal RNA (497 nucleotides) under uncultured bacterium. RNAcentral's name for it is "partial 16S ribosomal RNA". It matches the Rfam family "Bacterial small subunit ribosomal RNA", at positions 28 to 507 of the family's 1533-position model. The record is from RNAcentral.